CAGCAGCCACGGGAAUACGAGGGGGGCAAGCGUUGUUCGGAAUUAUUGGGCGUAAAGGGUGCGUAGGCGGUUUGACAAGUCUUAUGUGAAAUCUCUGGGCUCAACCCAGAGUCUGCAUGGGAAACUGUCGGGCUUGAGUAUGGGAGAGGUGAGUGGAAUUUCCGGUGUAGCGGUGAAAUGCGUAGAUAUCGGAAGGAACACCUGUGGCGAAAGCGGCUCACUGGACCAUAACUGACGCUGAUGCACGAAAGCUAGGGGAGCAAACAGGAUUAGAUACCCCUGUAGUCCCUGUCUCUUAUAU
RNAcentral lists this ribosomal RNA (301 nucleotides) under uncultured bacterium. Its description in RNAcentral is "partial 16S ribosomal RNA". It matches the Rfam family "Bacterial small subunit ribosomal RNA", at positions 509 to 809 of the family's 1533-position model. The record is from RNAcentral.